GACGAACGCUGGCGGCGUGCCUAAUACAUGCAAGUAGAACGCUGAAGGAGGAGCUUGCUUCUCUGGAUGAGUUGCGAACGGGUGAGUAACGCGUAGGUAACCUGCCUGGUAGCGGGGGAUAACUCUUGGAAACGAUAGCUAAUACCGCAUAAGAGUAGAUGUUGCAUGACAUUUGCUUAAAAGGUGCAAUUGCAUCACUACCAGAUGGACCUGCGUUGUAUUAGCUAGUUGGUGGGGUAACGGCUCACCAAGGCGACAAUACAUAGCCGACCUGAGAGGGUGAUCGGCCAAAAUGGGACUGAGACACGGCCCAGAAUCCUACGGGAGGCAGCAGUAGGGAAUCUUCGGCAAUGGACGGAAGUCUGACCGAGCAACGCCGCGUGAGUGAAGAAGGUUUUCGGAUCGUAAAGCUCUGUUGUAAGAGAAGAACGAGUGUGAGAGUGGAAAGUUCACACUGUGACGGUAUCUUACCAGAAAGGGACGGCUAACUACGUG
RNAcentral lists this ribosomal RNA (495 nucleotides) under uncultured bacterium. RNAcentral describes it as "partial 16S ribosomal RNA". It matches the Rfam family "Bacterial small subunit ribosomal RNA", at positions 28 to 507 of the family's 1533-position model. The record is from RNAcentral.